UGGUUCAGUGGUAGAGUUCUUGUCCACCACACAGGAAACCUGGGUUCAAUUCCCAG
This 56-nucleotide transfer RNA is filed under the name Alligator mississippiensis (American alligator). Lineage: Eukaryota; Metazoa; Chordata; Crocodylia; Alligatoridae. The record is from Rfam by way of RNAcentral.